GGUAGGCUUAUACUGCAGUCGAGCGAGCUUGCCUAGAUGAUUUUAGUGCUUGCACUAAAUGAAACUAGAUACAAGCGACCGUCGGACGGGUGAGUAACACGUGGGUAACCUGCCCAAGAGACUCGGUAAAACACCUGGAAACAGAUGCUAAUACCGGAUAACAACACUAGACGCAUGUCUAGAGUUUGAAAGAUGGUUCUGUUAUCACUCUUGGAUGGACCUGCGGUGCAUUAGCUAGUUGGUAAGGUAACGGCUUACCAAGGCAAUGAUGCAUAGCCGAGUUGAGAGACUGAUCGGCCACAUUGGGACUGAGACACGGCCCAAACUCCUACGGGAGGCAGCAGUGGGGAAUCUUCCACAAUGGACGAAAGUCUGAUGGAGCAACGCCGCGUGAGUGAAGAAGGGUUUCGGCUCGUAAAGCUCUGUUGGUAGUGAAGAAAGAUAGAGGUAGCAACUGGCCUUUAUUUGACGGUAAUUACUUAGAAAGUCACGGCUAACUACGUGCCAGCAGCCGCGGUAAUACGUAGGUGGCAAGCGUUGUCCGGAUUUAUUGGGCGUAAAGCGAGUGCAGGCGGUUCAAUAAGUCUGAUGUGAAAGCCUUCGGCUCAACCGGAGAAUUGCAUCAGAAACUGUUGAACUUGAGUGCAGAAGAGGAGAGUGGAACUCCAUGUGUAGCGGUGGAAUGCGUANAUAUAUGGAAGAACACCAGUGGCGAAGGCGGCUCUCUGGUCUGCAACUGACGCUGAGGCU
Molecule: ribosomal RNA, 750 nt
Filed under: uncultured bacterium
Lineage: Bacteria
Description: bacterial SSU rRNA
Rfam family: Bacterial small subunit ribosomal RNA
Source: RNAcentral